AGGUAAGCUACUAAGAGCGAAUGGUGGAUGCCUUGGUUGGUAGAGGCGAUGAAAGACGUGCUAGACUGCGAUAAGUCUCGGGGAGUUGUCAAGGAACUUUGAUCCGGGAAUUUCUGAAUGGGGAAACCCAGUAUAUAGUGAUAUAUACUACCUAUAUGGAGCAAACGUGGGGAAUUGAAACAUCUUAGUACCCACAGGAAAAGAAAUCAAAUGAGAUUACGAAAGUAGCGGCGAGCGAAAUCGUAAAAGGGCAAACCACUAGUUUACUAGUGGGGUUGUAGGACUGUAACAUAGACUAAAAAGAGUUAAUAGAAUAAUCUGGAAAGUUUAAGCAUAGAGGGUGAUACUCCCGUAUAUGAAAACUCUUUUUUACUUAACAGUAUCCUGAGUAAGGCGAGGCACGUGAAACCUUGUCUGAAUCUGGGAAGACCACUUUCCAACCCUAAAUACUACUACCAAACCGAUAGUGAACAAGUACCGUGAGGGAAAGGUGAAAAGAACGGGGGUGACCCGAGUGAAAUAGAACCUGAAACCAUUUGCUUACAAUCAUUCAGAGCACGAUUCUUUAUGACGUGUGAUGGACUGCCUUUUGCAUAAUGAGCCUGCGAGUUGUGAUAUCUGGCAAGGUUAAGGAAAUCCGGAGCCGUAGCGAAAGCAAGUCUUAAUAGGGCGUUUAGUCAGAUAUUGCAGACCCGAAACGAAGUGAUCUAUCCAUGAGCAGGUUGAAACCGGUGUAAGAGCCGGCGGAGGACCGAACCCGCUGACGUUGAAAAGUCUUGGGAUGACUUGUGGAUAGGGGUGAAAGGCCAAUCAAACUUCGUGAUAGCUGGUUCUCUCCGAAAUAUAUUUAGGUAUAGCGUUAUGUAGUAAUUAGAGGGGGUAGAGCACUGAAUGGGCUAGGGCAUACACCAAUGUACCAAACCCUAUCAAACUCCGAAUACCUUUAAUGUAAUCAUAGCAGUCAGGCGGCGAGUGAUAAAAUCCGUCGUCAAGAGGGGAACAACCCAGACUACCGACUAAGGUCCCAAAAUCUUAUUUAAGUGGAAAACGAUGUGAAGUUACUUAAACAACCAGGAGGUUGGCUUAGAAGCAGCCAUCCUUUAAAGAUAGCGUAAUAGCUCACUGGUCUAGUGAUUUUGCGCGGAAAAUAUAACGGGGCUAAAAUAAGUACCGAAGUCGUAGACUUAGUUUUACUAAGUGGUAGGAGAGCGUUGUAUUUAGCGUUGAAGAUGUACCGGUAAGGAGCGUUGGAGCAAAUACAAGUGAGCAUGCAGGCAUGAGUAGCGUUAAAUCAGGUGAGAAUCCUGAUCGCCGAAAACCCAAGGUUUCCUACGCGAUGCUCGUCAUCGUAGGGUUAGUCGGGUCCUAAGCAAAGUCCGAAAGGGGUAUGCGAUGGAAAAUUGGUUAAUAUUCCAAUACCAAUUAUUAUGUGCGAUGGAAGGACGCUUAAAGUUAGUGGAGCUAACUGAUGGAAUAGUUAGUCUAAGGACGUAGGUUGAGUUAUAGGCAAAUCCGUAACUCUUUAUCCAAAAUCUUAAAGGCUUACAAAACUCUUCGGAGUAGCGUAAGAAUCCAUGAUACUAUCGAGCCAAGAAAAGUUUCUAAGUUUAGUAAUAAUUGCCCGUACCGUAAACCGACACAGGUGGGUGGGAUGAGUAUUCUAAGGCGCGUGGAAGAACUCUCUUUAAGGAACUCUGCAAAAUAGCACCGUAUCUUCGGUAUAAGGUGUGCCUACCAGGGUGCAAGCCCUAGAGGUUACAACAAAGAGUCCCUCCCGACUGUUUACCAAAAACACAGCACUCUGCUAACACGUAAGUGGAUGUAUAGGGUGUGACGCCUGCCCGGUGCUCGAAGGUUAAUUGAUGGAGUUAGCAUUAGCAAAGCUCUUGAUCGAAGCCCGAGUAAACGGCGGCCGUAACUAUAACGGUCCUAAGGUAGCGAAAUUCCUUGUCGGUUAAAUACCGACCUGCAUGAAUGGCGUAACGAGAUGGGAGCUGUCUCAAAGAGGGAUCCAGUGAAAUUGUAGUGGAGGUGAAAAUUCCUCCUACCCGCGGCAAGACGGAAAGACCCCGUGGACCUUUACUAUAGCUUGACACUGCUACUUGGAUAAAGAUGUGCAGGAUAGGUGGGAGAUUAUGAUCUAUAGAUGCUAGUCUAUAAGGAGUCAUCCUUGAGAUACCACUCUUCUUUAUUCGGGUAGCUAACUAGCCUAAGUUAUCCUUAGGUAGGACAAUGUCUGGUGGGUAGUUUGACUGGGGCGGUCGCCUCCCAAAUAAUAACGGAGGCUUACAAAGGUUGGUUCAAAACGGUUGGAAAUCGUUUAUAGAGUAUAAAGGCAAAAACCAGCUUAACUGCGACACCGACAAGUGGAGCAGAGACGAAAGUCGGUCUUAGUGAUCCGGUGGUUCUGUGUGGAAGGGCCAUCGCUCAAAGGAUAAAAGGUACCCCGGGGAUAACAGGCUGAUCUCCCCCAAGAGCUCACAUCGACGGGGAGGUUUGGCACCUCGAUGUCGGCUCAUCGCAUCCUGGGGCUGGAGCAGGUCCCAAGGGUAUGGCUGUUCGCCAUUUAAAGCGGUACGCGAGCUGGGUUCAGAACGUCGUGAGACAGUUCGGUCCCUAUCUGCCGUGGGCGUAAGAAGAUUGAGGAGAGUUGACCCUAGUACGAGAGGACCGGGUUGAACCAACCACUGGUGUAUAAGUUGUCCUGCCAAGGGCACCGCUUAGUAGCUAAGUUGGGAUGUGAUAAGAGCUGAAAGCAUCUAAGCUCGAAGCCAACUCCAAGAUUAAUCUUCUUUUAAGAGCUCUUAUAGACUAUAAGUUUGAUAGGCUGGGUGUGUAAGUGAUGUAAGUCAUUUAGCUGACCAGUACUAAUAGCUCGUUUGCUUAUCUUA
Ribosomal RNA from Campylobacter ureolyticus ACS-301-V-Sch3b, 2891 nucleotides. It matches the Rfam family "Bacterial large subunit ribosomal RNA". The record is from Rfam. Lineage: Bacteria; Pseudomonadati; Campylobacterota; Epsilonproteobacteria; Campylobacterales; Campylobacteraceae.